UACGAAGGGGGCUAGCGUUGCUCGGAAUCACUGGGCGUAAAGGGUGCGUAGGCGGGUCUUUAAGUCAGGGGUGAAAUCCUGGAGCUCAACUCCAGAACUGCCUUUGAUACUGAAGAUCUUGAGUCCGGGAGAGGUGAGUGGAACUGCGAGUGUAGAGGUGAAAUUCGUAGAUAUUCGCAAGAACACCCGUGGCGAAGGCGGCUCUCUGGGACGGUACUGACGCUGAGACGCGAAAGCGUGGGGAGCGAACAGG
This 253-nucleotide ribosomal RNA is filed under the name uncultured bacterium. RNAcentral describes it as "partial 16S ribosomal RNA". It matches the Rfam family "Bacterial small subunit ribosomal RNA", at positions 524 to 776 of the family's 1533-position model. The record is from RNAcentral.